CCGUAGCCACGUCUGGUUGAGGGUCA
This 26-nucleotide ribosomal RNA is filed under the name Milnesium tardigradum. RNAcentral describes it as "partial 5.8S ribosomal RNA". The record is from RNAcentral. Lineage: Eukaryota; Metazoa; Tardigrada; Eutardigrada; Apochela; Milnesiidae.